ACCCUCCUGAUUUGUUGCCCAUCAGAUCUAAACACUGGUCUGAGUGGUUAUAAAAAGAGGAAAAGUACAAUUGAAACGAACUUCAGUUCUUUUGGGACACACGAGCUAGUUUCAAACCAAA
Small nucleolar RNA from Echinops telfairi (small Madagascar hedgehog), 121 nucleotides. RefSeq annotates it as small nucleolar RNA SNORA61. The record is from RefSeq and is a predicted model, not a curated record. NCBI's taxonomy places the organism in Eukaryota, Metazoa, Chordata, Mammalia, Afrosoricida, Tenrecidae. The transcript has a single exon.